GUACCAAUCGAUCGAAUUCUAGUCGCAAUUCUCUGUCUGUCCCUCGGCUCUGGGGAGAAAGGGGGGGCUGUGGCGUGGGGGCUGAGGAGGGGCUAAGGCGGGAGGGGCGCCUCAUCCCUUCACCCUCCCUUUUCGCCAUGUGGGGGCCCUGAGCGCCGCCCCAGAAGAGGCCGAGGGAAUGUUGUGGGCUGGGGCACACCGGCACGGCAGAAACUGGAGAAAGCGAGAGACGUCGCCAGGGACCCAGGGACCUCUCCCUCCAGUUCCCCGGGCCCGCCCGGCCCUGAUCGCCACUCACGCUAUAGCGCCCACUCUGUCCUGGGCCGUCCCGCGCCAGCAGUGUAGCCCCCAGCCCGGGCGCCUGAAUGCUCUCCCUCCGGAUCGCUGCUCGGUUCCCCACUUUGGCGACCGUGCCCCCGAGUCCUGCUUCCCCGGGGCCUGCUCUGUAUCAGGCGCCUGCGCCUUCGAGGGUACCCGGCCCGCCUGCCCUCCCCAAGAGCCGAGUUUGCGCUCCUCCCGGAAUCGUUUGAGAGAAGGACAAACUUUUGAGAGGAUGGAAAUCUAGAUGAGCCUGUCCGGAGCAGUUUGAGUCAGAGACCCAUUUCCCUGAGAUGGAGCCAAGCGAGUGCCCCCUCCCGCCUCCAGCACAAUCUCCCGCUCUUCUCCAGUUCCCAAAGGAGGGCAAGGAAAAGGCCCCUACUCUCCUCCCAGGGCUGAGAUUUCCUCCCCCACCCAAGAGAUGCCCCAGGAGGAAGGAAUGGAGAGGCUCUUCAAAGGGCAGUCAAGAGCAGAGGAACACCCCUGAUUAGCCAGGCCCACCGCCAUCCACAUCUGCUCGGCAAAGAAGGAAGGCAGCUUGUUCCAGACCUUGGUGAGCAGCUGCAGACUGCCUGCCUAGAACAGCCUCCUUACUCCAGCCUGGCAGGGAAGGAAGGAACCUGACUUGCUUCGCAGGAUCUGGAAGCUCAGCCGGCAGAGCUGAGAGCCGCAGUUGCAUCCUGGAGCCUGAUGCUAGAAGCAGCUUCCGUCUUUGGGUUCUUGCUGCCUCGGCUUCUGCUCUGUUCAGUUUGCUGUUGUGUUUUUCUCCCCCAUGUUGGGGUGGUGGGGUACAGGGAAAUAAAAUGUUUUCUCCCAGGCCCCUAAUCCUUCCCCAUGCCUCCAUCAGCCUCAAAGCUGCUGACAGUCAUGAACUGCACCUUCUAGCCCUGCCCAUAAGCUACUCAAAGCAAAUUCAAAUUCUCUUCUGGCCAGGAGGAAGGGCAGAUGCUCCCUCCUUCCUCAAGCCUCCCUGGCUCAUUGAUCCAUUUUGAGGGCAUUUGGGGGUCAAAGUUGAGACCAGAUUGCUUCAGUUUGUAUAAAAUUAGCAUUUCUUAUCACACCAAGGCCACACCUGUUCUCUGGCCUCACAAACCAGUGAGGAUGUAAAGGUUUGUUGAGGUGGAGGAACGGAAGUGAAAUGAGCAAUCUGCUCCAUUUAGAAGUCAGUCGCUUCAGCUGUUCAUUCCACUAAUAUUUAUCUAGUACCUACUCUGUGCCAAGCAUUGUCUCUACCUCAGUUUGCCACAAAUAUGAAAAAAAAAAAAUUCUUGGAAGUGUGAGGCUUCAAUGUGUUGUGGACCAAUAUACAAAUAAACCAAUGGAAAAGAAA
Long non-coding RNA from Gorilla gorilla gorilla (western lowland gorilla), 1648 nucleotides. RefSeq lists it as uncharacterized. The transcript has 3 exons. Lineage: Eukaryota; Metazoa; Chordata; Mammalia; Primates; Hominidae. The record is from RefSeq and is a predicted model, not a curated record.